UACGUAGGGGGCUAGCGUUGUCCGGAAUCAUUGGGCGUAAAGAGCGCGUAGGCGGCCAGAUAAGUCCGGUGUGAAAGUCAAAGGCUCAACCUUUGAAUGCCGCUGGAAACUGUCUGGCUAGAGUCCGGGAGGGGCGAGUGGAAUUCCUGGUGUAGCGGUGGAAUGCGCAGAUAUCAGGAGGAACACCGGUGGCGAAGGCGGAUCUCUGGGCCAUAACUGACGCUGAGGAGCGAAAGCAUGGGGAGCGAACAGG
Molecule: ribosomal RNA, 253 nt
Filed under: uncultured bacterium
Lineage: Bacteria
Description: partial 16S ribosomal RNA
Rfam family: Bacterial small subunit ribosomal RNA
Source: RNAcentral